This 20-nucleotide transfer RNA is filed under the name Crepidomanes kurzii. Its description in RNAcentral is "partial tRNA-Ser". Lineage: Eukaryota; Viridiplantae; Streptophyta; Polypodiopsida; Hymenophyllales; Hymenophyllaceae. The record is from RNAcentral.
GAGGAGAGAUGGCCGAGAGG